Long non-coding RNA from Arachis duranensis, 682 nucleotides. RefSeq lists it as uncharacterized. Lineage: Eukaryota; Viridiplantae; Streptophyta; Magnoliopsida; Fabales; Fabaceae. The transcript has 3 exons. The record is from RefSeq and is a predicted model, not a curated record.
AAGAGAACACGGUGAGAAAGAAGAGAGUAACCAAAACCUAGAGCACUAUUCACUUUCAUCUUGUUUUGCUUGUAACUUUUGAUCUGGAGCACUGAUUGACGAGUCGUUUGCGGCCACGCGUAGCUCUCCUCAUCCUCUUCAAUUUUAUCCAAUAUUUGUGGGAUGCUCUAACAUGAAUUUCUAGUGAGUUCCAUCUAUAUUUCGUGUGGGUUAAGAGAAUUGUUGGGGCUGAAUUUGGUGUGGAGUGAAAUUUGAUUGGCAAAUUUGGGUGGCGGACCUUGGAGAUUGAGCGAGGAAAGGCUUCAAGAGUUUGAACCGCUGACAUUCAAAGUACGGGUUUGAGUUUCGAGUAGACAUUGUGUAAAGUUAUGUGAAUGCCUAGGUUAGUUGACCUUAGGAUAGGUGUGGAUUGAAAUUGGUUGUUGUUAUGGAUAGUGAAUGGCUAUAUGUAUAUGUGUAUUGAUUAAGAAUUAUUGUGACAUUAUGAAGUGAAUGACAUUUAUUGAUUUUAUUGUUAAUUGAUUUGGAUAUUGGGCCGGUCGUAAUAGGGUGAAGAAACCCCUAUGAGGUAAGUGAAGGUAAUCGGUGUGAAUUAUUAUAAUGGUGGUGGACUUGGUGAUUGAUUGGAAUUGAAUUUAGAGAAUAUUUGAAGGAUUGAAUCUUAAAAUGUUGAACUACUUGC